AAAAAAGGUAAGCUACUAAGAGCGAAUGGUGGAUGCCUUGACUGGUAAAGGCGAUGAAGGACGUACUAGACUGCGAUAAGCUACGGGGAGCUGUCAAGAAGCUUUGAUCCGUAGAUUUCCGAAUGGGGCAACCCAAUGUAUAGAGAUAUACAUUACCUAUAUAGGAGCGAACGAGGGGAAUUGAAACAUCUUAGUACCCUCAGGAAAAGAAAUCAAUAGAGAUUGCGUCAGUAGCGGCGAGCGAAAGCGCAAGAGGGCAAACCCAGUGCUUGCACUGGGGGUUGUAGGACUGCAAUGUGCAAGAGGUGAGUUUAGCAGAACAUUCUGGAAAGUAUAGCCAUAGAGGGUGAUAGUCCCGUAUGCGAAAAACAAACCUUAGCUAGCAGUAUCCUGAGUAGGGCGGGACACGAGAAAUCCUGUCUGAAGCUGGGUCGACCACGAUCCAACCCUAAAUACUAAUACCAGAUCGAUAGUGCACAAGUACCGUGAGGGAAAGGUGAAAAGAACUGAGGUGAUCAGAGUGAAAUAGAACCUGAAACCAUUUGCUUACAAUCAUUCAGAGCCCUAUGUAGCAAUACAGGGUGAUGGACUGCCUUUUGCAUAAUGAGCCUGCGAGUUGUGGUGUCUGGCAAGGUUAAGCAAACGCGAAGCCGUAGCGAAAGCGAGUCUGAAUAGGGCGCUUAGUCAGAUGCUGCAGACCCGAAACGAAGUGAUCUAUCCAUGAGCAAGUUGAAGCUAGUGUAAGAACUAGUGGAGGACUGAACCCAUAGGCGUUGAAAAGCCCCGGGAUGACUUGUGGAUAGGGGUGAAAGGCCAAUCAAACUUCGUGAUAGCUGGUUCUCUCCGAAAUAUAUUUAGGUAUAGCGUUGUGUCGUAAUAUAAGGGGGUAGAGCACUGAAUGGGCUAGGGCAUACACCAAUGUACCAAACCCUAUCAAACUCCGAAUACCUUA
Molecule: ribosomal RNA, 952 nt
Filed under: Campylobacter coli
Lineage: Bacteria; Pseudomonadati; Campylobacterota; Epsilonproteobacteria; Campylobacterales; Campylobacteraceae
Description: partial 23S ribosomal RNA
Rfam family: Bacterial large subunit ribosomal RNA
Source: RNAcentral